Molecule: long non-coding RNA, 1552 nt
Filed under: Mytilus galloprovincialis (Mediterranean mussel)
Lineage: Eukaryota; Metazoa; Mollusca; Bivalvia; Mytilida; Mytilidae
Source: RNAcentral
GGUUAGGGUUAGGGUUAGGGUUUGACAUGUAGGUAUUGUAUAGAGAUAUUUGUCUAUUGUUAAAGACAUUUAUAGGGUUAGGGUUAGCGUUAGGGUUUGACAUGUAGGUAUUGUAUAGAGAUAUUUGUCUAUUGUUAAAGACAUUAUAGGGUUAGGGUUAGGGUUAGGGUUUGACAUGUAGGUAUUGUAUACAGAUAUUUGUCUAUUGUUAAAGACAUUUUAGGGUUAGGGUUAGGGUUAGGGUUUGACAUGUAGGUAUUGUAUAGAGAUAUUUGUCUAUUGUUAAAGACAUUAUAGGGUUAAGGUUAGGGUUAGGGUUUGACAUAUGUAGGUAUUGUAUACAGAUAUUUGUCUAUUGUUAAAGACAUUAUAGGGUUAGGGUUAGGGUUAGGGUUUGACAUAUGUAGGUAUUGUAUACAGAUAUUUGUCUAUUGUUAAAGACAUUAUAGGGUUAGGGUUAGAGUUAGGGUUUGAAUAUGUAGGUAUUGCUAUAGAGAUAUUUGUCUAUUGUUAAAGACAUUAUAGGGUUAGGGUUAGAGUUAGGGUUUGACAUAUGUAGGUAUUGUAUAGAGAUAUUUGUCUAUUGUUAAAGACCAUUAUAGGGUUAAGGUUAGGGUUAGGGUUUGACAUAUGUAGGUAUUGUAGAGAUAUUUGUCUAUUGUUAAAGACAUUAUAGGGUUAGCGUUAGGGUUAGGGUUUGACAUAUGUAGGUAUUGUAUACAGAUAUUUGUCUAUUGUUAAAGACAUUAUAGGGUUAGGGUUAGAGUUAGGGUUUGACAUAUGUAGGUAUUGUAUAGAGAUAUUUGUCUAUUGUUAAAGACAUUAUAGGGUUAAGGUUAGGGUUUGACAUAUGUAGGUAUUGUAUAGAGAUAUUUGUCUAUUGUUACAGACAUUAUAGGGUUAAUAGGGUUAGGGUUAGGGUUUGACAUGUACAUGUAGGUAUUGUAUAGAGAUAUUUGUCUAUUGUUAAAGACAUUAUAUUCACCUCCAGUUGUCCAAUUAUCUCUUAUUUAGAUUUGACAAAUCUUUCAUUUUGACAUAGAUAUAAUAUUAAAAACGGUCAAACAAUGUACACUAGAGAAACAAAAACCCCAACGAACAAGUGCACGCAUAUCACAUUUAAGUUUAAGUUUUUUGUAUCAGGUCCAUUCGUUAUUCGUAAUCAAGUCGUGACUGAAAACUUUCAUCUUGUUUUGUCAUAUGCCAAUUAGACAUUUACAUUUAAGGCUUUUAGAACUUUAAGUGGCGUUAUAAAUAUGUAUGAUCUUAAUUGGGAUUUUUAAUUUUUGUUGAAAUUUUUGUGAAAUAAAAAUUGUAUAUGUUGUUGUUUUUUUGUUGUUUUUUAUCAUUCUAAUAUCUUAAUAUUUUCAACAAGUAUUGCCGGUUUGAUUAAAAUGUGUUUACGAUUCUAGAUACAUUUCUGUUUUAUAAUCUAUUACCUAUAUAAGGCAGUGGUCCCAUCGUUACAAAGUCUAUUUACAUUGUAAAUAAAUAAACAAGUACUAUUAAGUACUUUCCCAUUUUAGUUGUUUCCCAUUACGACAAACUUUUU